Molecule: ribosomal RNA, 253 nt
Filed under: uncultured bacterium
Lineage: Bacteria
Description: partial 16S ribosomal RNA
Rfam family: Bacterial small subunit ribosomal RNA
Source: RNAcentral
UACGUGGGGGCCGAGCGUUGUCCGGAGUUACUGGGCGUAAAGCGCGCGCAGGCGGCCCCGCACGUCCGGCGUGAAAGCCCCCGGCUCAACCGGGGAGGGUCGUCGGGGACGGCGGGGCUUGAGGGCGGCAGGGGCCGGUGGAAUUCCCGGUGUAGUGGUGAAAUGCGUAGAGAUCGGGAGGAACACCCGUGGCGAAGGCGGCCGGCUGGGCCGACCCUGACGCUGAGGCGCGAAGGCGUGGGGAGCGAACGGG